UAAGUGGAUCUAUUUGUAGAAAAUGAAAAAGUCCAUUUGUUGAAGCUCUCAAACAUGUUUUUAGCAAAGUGCCAACCAACUAACCCCAUAAUUUGUUUGAUUACAUUUCUUUUUCUUUCAGAUCUAACAUGGGGUGGUAAAAUCUGAUCGUUAGCAGAGAUUCCCCGCUGGGAUUAAAGCAGACAGCAUCUAAUCAUCUGCUUUGCAACAUGCAAGAUUUUAAAGCUAGUUCUGUUUUUUUAUGGCACCAGGUCAACGCAAAGUUGAAAGUAGGAUCAAAGAUUCUCCAGCACACAUGCAUUCACAAAAUACACAGAGACAGCAGCUCUAACAAGCAUCUAUUUUCAUGUUCAUUAGAUUUAGUUGCAGAGUGAAAAUGUUGCUUAUUAUAUUGGGAUUUACAGUACAUAUACACACAGAGUCAAGUUUUCAGAUUUUCAAAGAGUCUCUUGUUUAAUUUGACCAUAAUAUCAUCAUCUUUUAUGUUUUGCUGGUUUACUCUCAUGCAUAAUGUUUUCCAGCAGUCGUCUUUCUGCACGUAUUCAUGCUCCAGGAAAUGAAGAGCUUUGGGAAAAUCAGCUGGGGGUCUCUUACUAGCCUCCCGAAAUCAUGAAGCUUAUCUUGUUUUGUUUUAUGAUGUCAAGUUCAGCUAAUCGGAGGAACAUCUGAAGUUGAUCCUCUACUGAAGCAUAAUGAUGAACUCCAUUAAGUCUCACAACUAUGAAACAUCCAUUAAAGAGCCACUUAGCAUGUUUUCCUCUGGGUAUAGGUUCAAAGAAACUUCUUAUCAACAACCGUUUUUGGCUGUUUAGGUUUCUUGAGUUGCUUUUUGCAUUUUAGAAGUUCUUCAUAUUGUUUUUCUUGGUUUUUAAGCAACAGGGCACAGAUGGUUUUCUGAAGAAUUAUAAUAAAAAUACUUUAUGGAACUUCAA
Cyprinus carpio (common carp) is the source of this 932-nucleotide long non-coding RNA. RefSeq lists it as uncharacterized. The transcript has 2 exons. The record is from RefSeq and is a predicted model, not a curated record. NCBI's taxonomy places the organism in Eukaryota, Metazoa, Chordata, Actinopteri, Cypriniformes, Cyprinidae.